UUGGAGGGCAAGUCUGGUGCCAGCAGCCGCGGUAAUUCCAGCUCCAAUAGCGUAUAUUAAAGUUGUUGCAGUUAAAAAGCUCGUAGUUGAAUUUCGAGACCGGCUUACUGGUCGUGCUAUUGUACGUACUGGUAUAAUCGGUUUCUCCUUUCUGACGAACUUUAAUGCCAUUAAUUUGGUGUUUUAGGGAAUCAGGACUGUUACUUUGAAAAAAUUAGAGUGUUUAAAGCAGGCUCACGCUUGAAUACAUUAGCAUGGAAUAACGGAAUAGGACGUUUGAUUCUAUUUUGUUGGUUUCUAGGAUCGACGUAAUGAUUAAUAGGGAUAGUUGGGGGCAUUAGUAUUCAAUUGUCAGAGGUGAAAUUCUUGGAUUUAUUGAAGACUAACUACUGCGAAAGCAUUUGCCAAGGAUGUUUUCAUUAAUCAAGAACGAAAGUUAGGGGAUCGAAGACGAUCAGAUACCGUCGUAGUCUUAACCAUAAACUAUGCCGACUAGGGAUCGGAUGAUGUUAAUUUUUUAAUGACUCAUUCGGCGCCUUACGGGAAAC
This 548-nucleotide ribosomal RNA is filed under the name uncultured Glomus. RNAcentral's name for it is "SSU rRNA". It matches the Rfam family "Eukaryotic small subunit ribosomal RNA", at positions 548 to 1098 of the family's 1831-position model. Lineage: Eukaryota; Fungi; Glomeromycota; Glomeromycetes; Glomerales; Glomeraceae. The record is from RNAcentral.